AUUGAACGCUGGCGGCAUGCCUUACCCGUGCAAGUCGAACGGUAACAGGUCUUCGGAUCCUGACGAUUGGCGAACGGGAGAGUAAUACAUCGGAACGUGCCCGACCUUGGGGAAUAAGGAGGCGAAAGCUUUGUUAAAACCGCAUACGAUCUACGGAUGAACGCGGGGGUUCUUCGGCCCUCGCGCGGACGCGGCGGCCGAUGGCAGCUUAGGUAGUUGGUGGGAUAAAAGAUUACCAACCCGACGAUCUGUAGCGGGUCUGAGAGGAUGAUCAGCCACACUGGGACUGAGACACGGCCCAGACUCCUACGGGAGGCAGCAGUGGGGAAUUUUGGACAAUGGGCGAAAGCCUGAUCCAGCCAUGCCGCGUGCAGGAUGAAGGCCUUCGGGUUGUAAACUGCUUUUGUACGGAACGAAAAGCCUCUUUCUAAUAAAGAGGGGUCAUGACGGUACCGUAAGAAUAAGCACCGGCUAACUACGUG
This 482-nucleotide ribosomal RNA is filed under the name uncultured bacterium. RNAcentral's name for it is "partial 16S ribosomal RNA". It matches the Rfam family "Bacterial small subunit ribosomal RNA", at positions 30 to 507 of the family's 1533-position model. The record is from RNAcentral.